This 215-nucleotide ribosomal RNA is filed under the name uncultured bacterium. Its description in RNAcentral is "partial 16S ribosomal RNA". It matches the Rfam family "Bacterial small subunit ribosomal RNA", at positions 15 to 220 of the family's 1533-position model. The record is from RNAcentral.
GAUCAUGGCUCAGGAUGAACGCUAGCGACAGGCUUAACACAUGCAAGUCGAGGGGCAGCAUGAACUUAGCUUGCUAAGUUUGAUGGCGACCGGCGCACGGGUGAGUAACGCGUAUGCAACUUGCCUAUCAGAGGAGAAUAGCUUAUCGAAAGAUGAAUUAAUGCUCCAUGAAACGGGGGUCCCGCAUGGGAAUAUUUGUUAAAGAUUCAUCGCUG